RNAcentral lists this ribosomal RNA (576 nucleotides) under uncultured bacterium. RNAcentral's name for it is "partial 16S ribosomal RNA". It matches the Rfam family "Bacterial small subunit ribosomal RNA", at positions 355 to 923 of the family's 1533-position model. The record is from RNAcentral.
UGGGGAAUUUUGGACAAUGGGCGAAAGCCUGAUCCAGCAAUGCCGCGUGUGUGAAGAAGGCCUUCGGGUUGUAAAGCACUUUUGUCCGGAAAGAAAUCCUUGGCUCUAAUACAGUCGGGGGAUGACGGUACCGGAAGAAUAAGCACCGGCUAACUACGUGCCAGCAGCCGCGGUAAUACGUAGGGUGCAAGCGUUAAUCGGAAUUACUGGGCGUAAAGCGUGCGCAGGCGGCUUGCUAAGACCGAUGUGAAAUCCCCGGGCUCAACCUGGGAACUGCAUUGGUGACUGGCAGGCUAGAGUAUGGCAGAGGGGGGUAGAAUUCCACGUGUAGCAGUGAAAUGCGUAGAGAUGUGGAGGAAUACCGAUGGCGAAGGCAGCCCCCUGGGCCAAUACUGACGCUCAUGCACGAAAGCGUGGGGGAGCAAACAGGAUUAGAUACCCUGGUAGUCCACGCCCUAAACGAUGUCAACUAGUUGUUGGGGAUUCAUUUCCUUAGUAACGUAGCUAACGCGUGAAGUUGACCGCCUGGGGAGUACGGUCGCAAGAUUAAAACUCAAAGGAAUUGACGGGGUCAUA